Molecule: long non-coding RNA, 569 nt
Filed under: Malus domestica (apple)
Lineage: Eukaryota; Viridiplantae; Streptophyta; Magnoliopsida; Rosales; Rosaceae
Description: long non-coding RNA (MDOM_LNC004413)
Source: RNAcentral
CCGACAGAAGACAGCAAACAACUGGAGUUUGCCCGAUAAAUAUCACCACAACUGUAUAUACAUUAAACAGAACUGCUAUUGUAAGUUAGGGUUGAACCCUACUACUCUGAGUUGGUCUUAACCGAAGCUGCAGCAACAGUCGAGACCAUGGAGUCCACGCCACAGAUGUUUCGGCCCCUGCAGAUUUUGUAGAAUCCACUCUCUCCCCAGUUCUCUCCCCAUGAGUUCUUAAUAAUCCAGUAUGGCUUCUCCUUCAAUCUGAUGGGAGAAUACCCAGCUGCACCAUAACCUACGAGUAACACUCCGUGAUCCAACCGCUUUGAGCAUAUGUAGGGGCAUGACACUCCACCAACAUAUGUUUGCAUGAACACCGCAUUAAUAGCCACUGCAUUCGAGCAAUGUAAAAUUAUUAGCACCAGCCAAUCCUAUUAGAGCUUAUACCACAUUUGAGAAGAAGCAACGCUCUCAAGGGAGAUACAAAUAACAAAUAAUUUUUUUAACAGAAACAAAGGAAGAAUCAAAAUCACAUAUUUUUAAAGGUAAUUACCAGCAAGAGGGCCAUUUUUGAC